UGGACCCCGGCAACCUGCACAGACAGCCAUCAGCAUCGGUCCUAAAAAGAGCGAACUUGUUCUGGGUGAAGAUUCUCCUGGAGACGCAGCAAGAACAUCCAUGGUAACUGAAAUGAAGGCAGAGAAUCUAGGUCCAGUUUCAGGUGACCAGGAGCAUUUGUUGGUGGAAGUUUGUAGAAGUUCCUUUCUGAUUACUUCCAUCUUCCAAUGAAUAAGAAGGAAGGUCAUCAUGUGAAAGGAUGGCUGGAGGAGAGAGAAGGUGUGAACAGCUGUCAAGCAGAGCAGGAGAGUGAAUGAACGCAUGGAGUGCAGGACUGCCGGGAUCACUACGCCCCAUUCAAAGCACUCUGGCUCCUUUAAUGAAGAUGGACUGUACGGGACUAGGGCAACGCCAAGGGAGUAGCAAGGAAGCUCCUGGAAUCGCCCAGACCAGAGGUGAUGGUGUUUUGGCCCUGGGAGGGGACACAGUGGCCAUUGACUCCCCAUGUGCAGUUCCCAUUCUACUCUGCAGACCCCGUGGAGGAAGAGACUGUACUUACACACCAGGGGAGUCUAAUUAUUUGGUGCAGUUUGACAAGUUGC
This is a long non-coding RNA of Manis javanica (Malayan pangolin), 582 nucleotides long. RefSeq lists it as uncharacterized. The record is from RefSeq and is a predicted model, not a curated record. Lineage: Eukaryota; Metazoa; Chordata; Mammalia; Pholidota; Manidae.